Molecule: unclassified non-coding RNA, 240 nt
Filed under: soil metagenome
Description: partial contains 5.8S ribosomal RNA, internal transcribed spacer 2, and large subunit ribosomal RNA
Source: RNAcentral
AACGCACGAGACCUGCGGACCUGCGGAGGGAUCAUUACCGAGUUUACAACUCCCAAACCCAAUGUGAACGUUACCAAACUGUUGCCUCGGCGGGAUCUCUGCCCCGGAUGCGUCGCAGCCCCGGACCAAGGCGCCCGCCGGAGGACCAACCAAAACUCUUCUGUAUACCCCCCUCGCGGGUUUUUUAUAUCUGAGCCAUCUCGGCGCCUCUCGUAGGCGUUUCGAAAAUGAAUCAAAACU